AUGGGAGUUCAGACAAUGUCGUCCCUCGGCGGCGGCGGCGGGGGAGGGGCCCUGGCGCGGCAGGGGUCGGUCUACGGCCUCACGCCCAACGAGGUGGAGAGCCACCCGGGCGAGCCGCUGCGGAGCAUGAACCUGGAGGACCUCCUGCGCACGGUGCUCCCCGCCGCCGACGCAGAGACGGUGGACGAGGUGUGGCGCGACAUCGAGAGCGCCGGCCGCGGCCGCCAGCCGACGGUGGGCGAGAUGACGCUGGAGGACUUCCUCUCGCGCGCCGGCGUGCCCGUCGCCGGCGCGCAUUGGCUGCACCAGUAG
This 312-nucleotide ribosomal RNA is filed under the name Triticum aestivum (bread wheat). RNAcentral's name for it is "partial small subunit ribosomal RNA". Lineage: Eukaryota; Viridiplantae; Streptophyta; Magnoliopsida; Poales; Poaceae. The record is from RNAcentral.